AUGCGCAGGCGCAGUGAACGGGCGCCGUUAUAAGGGGGCGGGGCACAAGGGGCGGGGAUCCACGCCGAGGCUCCACCCCUCCUUAGGGCAGGUAUGACCGAGAGCUGGGGCGGGAGCGUUGACCUGUCGGGUAAAGCCAGCCCUACCGCUCGACUCAGUUGCACGCGCAGGGAGUGUGUGUUCACUCUGACUCGGCCCGGCUCCCCGUCCCCGCCGAAGCGCAGAGGCGAAUGAGAGCUGAGUCCUGGGGAGCAGCGCUCCGACUCACGCCCUCAGCAAGCCGAGUGUUUAAAAUACAUUCAGCCACUAGAUGUCGCUGUGGCCCCACCGCGAGGACGCGGAGGGAGGCGCUGCAGAGCACGGGCGACGUGACCACAGCUGUCGGGGCUAACUCUGGAAUGCCGGGUGCUCGGAGGAGCCUCCCCAGCUGGGGCCAAGCAGCGUCCAAGCAGGUGAAAAGGAUGCGCCCCUGUGGCUUGGAGACGCUUGCCCUCGAAAAAGUUUAUUAAACAAACUUGGGAGGGACCUCAAGAAUCCUUACAUCCAAGCCAUCGCUCUUUAGUUCGAAGCUGGGGAAACUGAGGCCCGCAGCGGGCGGCGCCUGGCACCCCAAUCAGCCAGCGCUCAGGGGAGUUGCUAGCCAAAAUCCACGAAUCUGUCAAGAUACAGUCUUGUAUCUUAGUGGCCUGUCACAGAGUAAGCACUUGGUAACUACUAACUUGUUGAUAAAUGAAUAAUUGAAGACAUCUCCAUUUUACAGAGGAGGAAACAGAUUCAGAUGGCAAAGGCAGGUAAGUAGCUAAGUCAGGAUUCAAACCCAGGACUCCAGAGGCUAACAACCCUCACUGCCUCUGUCUUGUCCUGGGCCAGCCCCAACAGCAUCUGUUGGCAGAGGUGUCAAAGGAGACGUUGGAGACAUUAUCUUGGAUCCAGGAAAUGAAGGGAUUCACAGAAAACGGGACGUGCUACUUUACCAGCACAUCACUGGGGGUAGGAGAUGAGGUCAGAGAACUCGCCAGGCCCAGAUCACCCAGCGCCUGAGUGGCUGGAGGUUAACUAGCAACCCAGGUGGCAGGUGGAAGAUGGAGAUUCACGAUUGCUUCUGGAAGACUCGCUGUGUGAUUCCGCCCACCCCAUGGCCAUUCC
This 1146-nucleotide long non-coding RNA is filed under the name Homo sapiens (human). RNAcentral's name for it is "HSALNT0388915". Lineage: Eukaryota; Metazoa; Chordata; Mammalia; Primates; Hominidae. The record is from RNAcentral.